UGAGGAAUAUUGCACAAUGGGCGCAAGCCUGAUGCAGCCAUGCCGCGUGUAUGAAGAAGGCCUUCGGGUUGUAAAGUACUUUCAGCGGGGAGGAAGGGAGUAAAGUUAAUACCUUUGCUCAUUGACGUUACCCGCAGAAGAAGCACCGGCUAACUCCGUGCCAGCAGCCGCGGUAAUACGGAGGGUGCAAGCGUUAAUCGGAAUUACUGGGCGUAAAGCGCACGCAGGCGGUUUGUUAAGUCAGAUGUGAAAUCCCCGGGCUCAACCUGGGAACUGCAUCUGAUACUGGCAAGCUUGAGUCUCGUAGAGGGGGGUAGAAUUCCAGGUGUAGCGGUGAAAUGCGUAGAGAUCUGGAGGAAUACCGGUGGCGAAGGCGGCCCCCUGGACGAAGACUGACGCUCAGGUGCGAAAGCGUGGGGAGCAAACAGG
RNAcentral lists this ribosomal RNA (429 nucleotides) under Chloroflexota bacterium. RNAcentral describes it as "Chloroflexi bacterium partial 16S ribosomal RNA". It matches the Rfam family "Bacterial small subunit ribosomal RNA", at positions 355 to 776 of the family's 1533-position model. The record is from RNAcentral. Lineage: Bacteria; Bacillati; Chloroflexota.